This 1090-nucleotide long non-coding RNA is filed under the name Macaca mulatta (Rhesus monkey). Its description in RNAcentral is "lncRNA (ENSMMUG00000051133.1)". The record is from RNAcentral. Lineage: Eukaryota; Metazoa; Chordata; Mammalia; Primates; Cercopithecidae.
UCUGGCUACUUCCUGCUGAAAAGGGGCAAAGGUGUGGAAACUGAAGAGCGGCACCUAUCCACCUGAAGUUGAAAGUAUUUCCAGGGGCCGGGCCCAUAUCCUGCAUACUGCAAUUCCAUUAUCUGGGUGCCGUUACCUAUUAUAGUCUUGGAACAGCAUCUUAAUCUAUAUUUGAUGAUGACAUUAAUGAAAACAUGAGUUACAAUAACGAUAAGAUAGAUGGAUGAGCCAAAAGUGAUGAUACCAGAAAAUAUAGAUCGGAUCCCUUGUGAGAUCCAAGAAAACAAUCCAGAAUACCAAUCACCUAAUCCUAGUUAAUCUUCUUUUAUCUGUUGUCACCAUGAAGUUUGCUCUCUUAUUGUAUUUACAUGCAUUUCAACUUCAGCUGAGGUGUUAAUAUAAGUGAAACAGGAGGAGUUGGCCUUGUUCAGCCAGCAGGUAAUCUAAUGCGAUCCCAUUAUCUAAACAACUUACAACUUUAGCUAGAGAAUCCAAAGACUUGCUGUGCUGUGAUAGCAGCACGUUUCAUUAGCUCUAACCCUUAAAGUAACGGACACAUUUCUAAGCACGUGGUUAUGAGCAGCCACUCCUCACCAUGAAAGCAAAGUAUAUCUGAAGAAGUACCCUGUGUCAUCAGGAAUCCUGGCAAAUCUGCUUCAGAGACCACCCUGUUCCCAACAGACAGACUCUCCUUCCAGAAUUCCUUGGGAGACCCUGGGCAACAGUUUUAGGGAAUUUGUCCAGUAUUUGGUAACACUUUCAUUGUGUACCAAGAAAGAUAUCACUGAGUAUCCUAACAAACAUUGUCCAUGAUCUCCUCUCCUAAUGCACCUACAGGCCCAGGGUUGGUUUUCCUGACUGCAGAUAGAAACAUAUCCCUCAGGAGCAGGCCGGGUAUGGUGGCUCACAUCUGUAAUUCCAGCACUUUGGGAGGCCAAGGCAUGAAGUAGAAUGCCCAGGUGCCAGGAGUGAGGGAAAGACCAAAGAGAAGUAGAUCUACAGGAAUAAAGCUCCAAUUAGCAUCUCAAAGUAAUAUUCCUCUCCAUAUGCCUUUAAUUACUUUAUAUAUGUAUAUAAAGUACAUAUACUU